This 316-nucleotide unclassified non-coding RNA is filed under the name plant metagenome. RNAcentral describes it as "partial contains 5.8S ribosomal RNA, internal transcribed spacer 2, and large subunit ribosomal RNA". The stretch from base 1 to 105 matches the Rfam family "5.8S ribosomal RNA", at positions 50 to 154 of the family's 154-position model. The record is from RNAcentral.
GAAAUGCGAUAACUAGUGUGAAUUGCAGAAUUCCGUGAAUCAUCGAGUCUUUGAACGCACAUUGCGCCCCCUGGUAUUCCGGGGGGCAUGCCUGUCCGAGCGUCAUUGCUGCCCAUCAAGCACGGCUUGUGUGUUGGGUCGUCGUCCCCUCUCCGGGGGGGACGGGCCCCAAAGGCAGCGGCGGCACCGCGUCCGAUCCUCGAGCGUAUGGGGCUUUGUCACCCGCUCUGUAGGCCCGGCCGGCGCUUGCCGAACGCAAAUCGAUCUUUUUCCAGGUUGACCUCGGAUCAGGUAGGGAUACCCGCUGAACUUAAGC